CCCACGGGCCACGACCGAGGGAGAGAGCUUCGUUUCCACCGGUGGGCCUGGGCCGUCCGGGCCACCGGUCGAGCACGUCGGAGCAAUGGCCGACCCUCGUCGCAUCUCCUCUCACGCCGGCCCGGGGGACGGCGGCCGCCGAGGCGCACAUCACAAACCGCCUCCGCUCAUACGAAACCCUCAACGGCCGCCAUCACCGGUCACCAACGCUCUUUUAUAGUUUUGAUGGAAAUUGGUGCGAGGACAUGAGAAGAGAAUGGGCUCCCUUCUCGGCGAAUCCAACAAAAGUUUCCCGAUAAAGCAGUGCGUACCAUCAGUAUUUUACUCCUUUUUUAGAACUCAGUGAUCUUACUCUCUUAUCCUCAAUUUUUGGAUGAUUGCUAAUGAAUUAUUGCUGUAUGUAUAAUUUUGUACAAAUUUAUAAACAUUGUCACAAUAUAUUUGGGCAACUAGAAUGCUGAUUAAUCA
Phragmites australis (common reed) is the source of this 468-nucleotide long non-coding RNA. RefSeq lists it as uncharacterized. The transcript has 2 exons. NCBI's taxonomy places the organism in Eukaryota, Viridiplantae, Streptophyta, Magnoliopsida, Poales, Poaceae. The record is from RefSeq and is a predicted model, not a curated record.